ACUUCUCCACCCCCGAGGAGCCGGAGCCGCACAGGCUCUGGGGGAAGCCGCCUGCACUCGCCGCGGAGGCGGCGGCGGCGGCUUCGAAAGCGCCCGGGCUGUGCCCCGCCGGACCCAGAUGCCCCGGGAAGCCGACAGCCCGGCUGCCCGCCGGAGCUCACAGGCGGCGGCGGCGGCGGCGGUGGCGCUUGGCAGGAGCAGUCUGUCUUUUAUGGGAGGUGGAUAUUGAAAUGACACUUCCGGUCAUUUUUUCCUUGAAUGAGGGGCUGAAUCCAAGCUUGAACCCUCAAACUCAGUUUCCUUUGAGGGGCUGUGAUUGGAGUCUGGAGAAAGCUGGAGAACAGAGACUCGGCGUGGAAGACUCAAGUAUUCACAGCGUUCCACAGAGUGGAGUUAGAAGUCUUGUUUUGACAGCCUGAAUCACUCCAGUUUCUUUCCCCAAAGACCUGUUUUUUUUCCUUUCAACCUGUGCGGCUUCCCUCCCACCCUACCCCACCCCACCCCACCCUCACCCCCAGGAAACACAUACAGAAGUUUAUCAUCUAAGGAAAUACACUUUGUUCCGAGGCACANNNNNNNNNNNNNNNNNNNNNNNNNNNAGGCAUGGCUAGUUGCAGCUGAAAACAGUUCCUUAAACUUUCAGGUCUGGACAGAAUCUAGAAUUAGACAAACAAGGUCCUGCCUACAAGGAAAUCUUGCUUUGAUGAAUACAGGAGAUAAAAACAACCAAUUGGUUGCUUGAAUUGCAUUGAUUCUGAAAAAAUGUGGGACUAGAACCUCGCACACAGUAGGCUCUUAAACAGCACUCCUUGCUUUUUGAUGUGCUUUAGGGGGUUUGGCACUGGUUUGUUUUCUUAGGAAGAUUAAAUGUUCCAGAACAAUUCUGCCACUGCUGUGAAUUAACUAAGAGAAUAAUUUUUCAGUAAAGAGUUCAAAAGGUUAAAUUCUAGCCCAGCUUUCCCGAGAUGGCGGGUUCCAGUUAGUGACAUUUUCUUGUGCUGUCUUCUCUUCCGUUGAUCUCCUCUCCUUUCCUUCAAAUCACCUGUUUUUGUUUGAAAAGCAGCCCAGAUCCUUCAGUUCUUUAUUUAGAUGGAGUAGAAUGAAAACAAACCGUGUCAGACAAUAGAUUGGAUGACCUGUUUAUAGAAUGUCCACUGGGUGAAGACUCCGGGGGAGUCUUCACAAAGGAGAAGGAACUCACAGUCAGUUGCUACCAUCUGAGAUGUUUGCAGUCCAGUAAAGGGGGAUAUGAUAAGUGUAUGAAGAAAACUUCAGCAGAGUGUGGGAAAAAAAAAUCUCUAAAUUCCCCUAAGAGCAUAGACUAGUGUUUUGCAAUCUUGAAAAAAACGCAUGCCCACUUUUGGUAAAUAUUGCAAUUUCAUGCUAUCUGAAUGUUUGAAAU
This 1402-nucleotide long non-coding RNA is filed under the name Capra hircus (goat). RNAcentral's name for it is "lncRNA (ENSCHIG00010015749.1)". Lineage: Eukaryota; Metazoa; Chordata; Mammalia; Artiodactyla; Bovidae. The record is from RNAcentral.